Long non-coding RNA from Lycium ferocissimum, 621 nucleotides. RefSeq lists it as uncharacterized. The transcript has 2 exons. The record is from RefSeq and is a predicted model, not a curated record. NCBI's taxonomy places the organism in Eukaryota, Viridiplantae, Streptophyta, Magnoliopsida, Solanales, Solanaceae.
UUUUGAUCGGAUUAGUCUAAUUAUUAUAAUGAAAGUAAGAUGAUCAUUGUAGCAAAUUAGUAUCAACUGAAGGCUUAGGGAUAAGGAGGAAAAAAGUGGUCUUCUGAAUGGGACAAAUAUGCUUUACAUACACUAAUUUUGCAGCUGAAAGACUAGAUUUGGAGAUUAUUUAUGUGGGGUGUUUGAAGGCAUCAGAUUUAGAAUUCAAUAAACAAGAGGAAGUAGCAAAAUUCUUAUGAGAGAAAUUUAGGUUCUAAUAUCUUUGACAACUUGGGAAAAAAGGCUUAUGAGUUAUGACAACAAAGCUUUAUGGAGUGGUCAAAUUUCAAAAGGCAUGGUGCUUUUUUUUUCCAUUAUGUAAACAGAUUUCCUCAUUGAAAAUGAAGAAUGUACGAUUUCACAAUAUUGUAUACUUUUGUUGCUUAGUGCGCGUAAAUAUUAUGAAGUGUUAAAACCUGAAACAUGUAGAAUUAUUUUCUUGGUGUUAUGAUCCUUUUAGUAUUCCUGUAAUAAUUGCACAAAUAAUACAAACAAUGAUGUCGGCCAUACGCCCGUGCACGGACCAUCUAGUGUGUUGUAAUAGUAGCUUAUUGUUUUAUGUAUUUAUAGUAGUUUGGUGUA